AUCUCGAAGGAUUGCGUCUCAUUUAUCACGCAAACCAAACUCAAAAUUGCGUCAAUAUAAGGACGCAUUCUCUUUUAUGUCACACAUGCGCAGUGGCCACUCUGCUGUCUGGAGCCCCCCUGACAUCUUUGUAGCCUAAUUUACUGAAAAAUAAGCCGUUAUUCAUGUUGCUCCACAUAACCGCGUAUUGCAACUUCAUAAUUAAAUCCCCACAACAAAAUACUGAGCUUAUGGGCUAUUUUAGUCACAUUUUAGUUCCUAGACAAAAGUCUGUUUUGCUAGGAUAUUAAUAAAAUAACAGAAACUGUUUUAUCCUAUACGAGAGCAUUUGUAGUAUUUGUCCAGAAGACUUUUGUGGCUGAAAACCAUUCAACCAGUAAGGUUUUUGAAAUAUUCAUUGUAAAUAACCCUGAUGUACCCCCACUGUUUAUGAUGAUGUCAUUUCAUCGCGACCUCCAUGCAUUGGAUUGUGGAUUUGAUUGUACUGCCUGCAGUCUGAUGUGGUUUGGCUGAGCUUUAUUCAUCAAUUGUUUUACGUCUCCAGUUUUCCCUGAGGUCCAAAAUAUUCAGUGGAGUGAAACUGUUGAUGGAAGUACAGUGCAUUACCAGGCGAAUACACCGGUGGCGACAAGAUCAAGCGACAGAGAAUCGCUGGACUGUGCAGCAAGAGUGAUAGAACAGCAAAAUGUAACAAGCUUGUCCUGGAGGACUGCUCUGAUGGGGAAUGCUGUGGAGGAGAGACAGGCAGACUGUGGUCCAUCGUGUGUGCUCCCAGUGCGUUAAUACACGGACAGUCCUUUUUAAGUGCAACCAGAGGAAUAAUGUGAUUGAGAGGAAGAGUGGCCCCAUACAUUGCUUGACCUGGAGCCUACCAAAGUCUAAGGUCUCAGGUGUCUCCAGAAGAACACAUCCCAAUGAAGACCCCAGUCAUAGUCAUCAACUUGACAGCUCAGCCUGUUACUUGAACUGUGUUCUUAGAGCCAAGUGUAACUGAGGUGUUUCCACACAGUCUGUCCCCCUUAGAUCUUGAACUUGCCACCACCUAGUCAACGCAUCGGUUCGGGUAUGGGAGGCACAGCACGAUACCGCUGAGCUAAAUGACCAGUCCCAUAGCUCAGCGCUGCUGGUACUGUAUGAGGCUUCGGGAGGGAGGUUUACUAUCCUUCCACGCCACACUCUGCUAGUUGGCCUCCGUUACACAAGCUCGAAUAAUCCAAGCAGCCAAUCCAACUUCUUCAGCACUGCCUUUGAACACUAUGAAGAACCACUCAGAACCACUGGUCCUAGAACUAAAUGACCACAUUAUACUGUUAAAGGUCCACUGUGUAGGAUGGUGAUCAGAGCAGGUAUUGCACCUAUGCUGCUCAUUGCAACUGUGCUACCUAUUGUCCAUUUUGACUUUUGAAUUUUCAAGAAUUUUACCAAGUAUUUACUAGUAUGUACCAAUAUUUACUAGUAUGACCAAAAUACAGUACAUUAUGCAACUAAAUUCAAGAUGGUGGACAAUGGACUCCUUUCAUGUUUUCAUGAAAAGUGUAAUUUUCCCAGUCAUAAUGAAUACUCAGAAUUUGAUGGUGGUAAGUAUUCUGAAAAAGGUUACAUUUGUGAAUGGCCUGAAUGAAUUCUGGAAAGAAACUGCUUAAAAAUAUUACACAGCGUACCUUUUAACAUUUCAUCUGUAGUAACAGAAUGUAGCGUUUCUCAGCUGCGACUCAAACCUAGACCCUCUUUCGUGGUGGUUGUUGUAAUGACACACUAAAAGCGAUAAUAUCUGCAUGAAGCUGCUCAGAAAGUGUCACUGGAUAUAUACCUUGAUAAAAGCAACAGAAUCUUCAAAGAAGAACAGAUACAAAAUGGGAUGCAUGCAUCAUGACAUUCCAACUGGUUGCAGUGAUAUUCAUGGAAAUGUCUAAUGCCUUUUCACCAUUAACUUAAACUUCUUUUAUGUUCUGUUCUUGUCUCUUUGUUAUGAUUGAAUUAGGAGUUUUAAUUUACACAAAAGCUGACACAUUUCCCACCUUUCUGUUAAGACUUGGUCCUAAGUGUUCUGAUUUGUUUGCUGUUUUAUACCUUGUGAAUAUUGAUGAUUUUUUAAUGAUUUUUAAUAAACUGUUUUGAUCAUUACA
Engraulis encrasicolus (European anchovy) is the source of this 2126-nucleotide long non-coding RNA. RefSeq lists it as uncharacterized. The transcript has 6 exons. The record is from RefSeq and is a predicted model, not a curated record. Lineage: Eukaryota; Metazoa; Chordata; Actinopteri; Clupeiformes; Engraulidae.